This 1379-nucleotide ribosomal RNA is filed under the name uncultured bacterium. Its description in RNAcentral is "bacterial SSU rRNA". It matches the Rfam family "Bacterial small subunit ribosomal RNA". The record is from RNAcentral.
GUUUGAUCCUGGCUCAAGACGAACGCUGGCGGCGUGCUUAACACAUGCAAGUUGAACGGUUUAUGGUGAUGAAGUGUCUUCGGGCAUGGAUAUCCAUAGGCAGUAGCGAACGGGUGAGUAAUGCGUGAGGACCUGCCCCGAGGAGGGGGACAGCAGUUGGAAACGGCUGGUGAUACCCCGUAUGCCGGGAGGUGAAGGGGUCUUUUAGGCCUGUCUUGGGAUGGACUCACGUCCUAUCAGCUAGUUGGCGAGGUAACGGCUCACCAAGGCGACGACGGGUAGCCGGCCUGAGAGGGUGUCCGGCCACACUGGAACUGAGACACGGUCCACACUCCUACGGGAGGCAGCAGUGGGGAAUUUUGGGCAAUGGGGGAAACCCUGACCCACCAACGCCGCGUGAGGGAAGAAGGUUUUCGGAUUGUAAACCUCUGUCCUUGGUGAAGAGCAGAAGACGGUAGCCAAGGAGGAAGCCCCGGCUAACUACGUGCCAGCAGCCGCGGUAAUACGUAGGGGGCGAGCGUUGUCCGGAAUGAUUGGGCGUAAAGGGCGCGUAGGCGGCUUGUUAAGUCUGGAGUGGAAGUCCUCUUUUCAAGGGAGGAAUUGCUUUGGAAACUGGCGGGCUUGAGUGCAGGAGAGGUUAUCGGAAUUCCCGGUGUAGCGGUGAAAUGCGUAGAGAUCGGGAGGAACACCAGUGGCGAAGGCGGGUAACUGGACUGCAACUGACGCUGAGGCGCGAAAGUGUGGGGAGCAAACAGAAGUAGAUACCCUGGUAGUCCACACUGUAAACGAUGAGUGCUAGGUGUAGGAGGUAUCGACCCCUUCUGUGCCGGAGUAAACGCAAUAAGCACUCCGCCUGGGGAGUACGGUCGCAAGAUUAAAACUCAAAGGAAUUGACGGGGGCCCGCACAAGCAGCGGAGCAUGUGGUUUAAUUCGACGCAACGCGAAGAACCUUACCAGGUCUUGACAUCCAGCAAAAGCUGUGGAAACACGGUGUGUCUUCGGACAUGCUGAGACAGGUGGUGCAUGGUUGUCGUCAGCUCGUGUCGUGAGAUGUUGGGUUAAGUCCCGCAACGAGCGCAACCCUUGUCCAUAGUUACUAACGCGUAGAGGCGAGGACUCUAUGGAGACCGCCGGGGACAACUCGGAGGAAGGUGGGGACGACGUCAAAUCAUCAUGCCCCUUAUGAUCUGGGCUACACACGUGCUACAAUGGCCGAGACAGAGAGGAGCGAAGGCGUGAGCCGGAGCGGAUCUCAAAAAAGCGGUCGAAGUUCGGAUUGUGGGCUGCAACCCGCCCACAUGAAGCCGGAGUUGCUAGUAAUCGCGGAUCAGCAUGCCGCGGUGAAUACGUUCCCGGGCCUUGUACUCACCGCCCGUCA